RNAcentral lists this ribosomal RNA (498 nucleotides) under uncultured bacterium. RNAcentral's name for it is "partial 16S ribosomal RNA". It matches the Rfam family "Bacterial small subunit ribosomal RNA", at positions 28 to 508 of the family's 1533-position model. The record is from RNAcentral.
GAUGAACGCUGGCGGCGUGCCUAAUACAUGCAAGUCGAGCGAACGGACGAGAAGCUUGCUUCUCUGAUGUUAGCGGCGGACGGGUGAGUAACACGUGGAUAACCUACCUAUAAGACUGGGAUAACUUCGGGAAACCGGAGCUAAUACCGGAUAAUAUUUUGAACCGCAUGGUUCAAAAGUGAAAGACGGUCUUGCUGUCACUUAUAGAUGGAUCCGCGCUGCAUUAGCUAGUUGGUAAGGUAACGGCUUACCAAGGCAACGAUGCAUAGCCGACCUGAGAGGGUGAUCGGCCACACUGGAAAUGGGACACGGUCCAGAAUCCUACGGGGGGCAGCAGUAGGGAAUCUUCCGCAAUGGGCGAAAGCCUGACGGGGGAACGCCGCGGGAGUGAUGAAGGGCUUCGGAUCGUAAAAAUCUGUUAUUAGGGAAGAAAAAAUGUGUAAGUAACUGAGCACCUCUUGACGGUACCUAAACAGAAAGGCACGGCUAAAUACGUGC